Long non-coding RNA from Ipomoea nil (Japanese morning glory), 217 nucleotides. RefSeq lists it as uncharacterized. The record is from RefSeq and is a predicted model, not a curated record. Lineage: Eukaryota; Viridiplantae; Streptophyta; Magnoliopsida; Solanales; Convolvulaceae. The transcript has 2 exons.
AUUUGAAAUUUAGCAGGCGUGAAGGGCUGGGACUUGUCACUGAACAGCUACCUCUCUCAGAAGCACAAAGUUUCUUCUGAAGUGGUGGGGUCCAUGAAGUUGACAAUACUGGUGAUGAAAAUACGAAAAAUAACUAGGAUCAGAUAAAAUUUUCUAUCCUUUUUCUGUUUUUACUUCCAAACAUGACUAUCUACGUGGAUAUCUUCUUGUUGGGGCU